GACGAACGCUGGCGGCGUGCUUAACACAUGCAAGUCGUACGGUAAGGCCCUUUCGGGGGUCCACGAGUGGCGCACGGGUGAGUAACACGUGAGUAACCUGCCCACAACUUUGGGAUAACGCUAGGAAACUGGUGCUAAUACUGGAUAUGUGCUCCUGCUGCAUGGUGGGGGUUGGAAAGCUCCGGCGGUUGUGGAUGGACUCGCGGCCUAUCAGCUUGUUGGUGGGGUAGUGGCCUACCAAGGCGGCGACGGGUAGCCGGCCUGAGAGGGUGACCGGCCACAUUGGGACUGAGAUACGGCCCAGACUCCUACGGGAGGCAGCAGUGGGGAAUAUUGCACAAUGGGCGCAAGCCUGAUGCAGCAACGCCGCGUGCGGGAGGACGGCCUUCGGGUUGUAAACCGCUUUCAGCAGGGACGAAGCUUUUUGUGACGGUACCUGCAGAAGAAGCACCGGCUAACUACGUG
RNAcentral lists this ribosomal RNA (465 nucleotides) under uncultured bacterium. Its description in RNAcentral is "partial 16S ribosomal RNA". It matches the Rfam family "Bacterial small subunit ribosomal RNA", at positions 28 to 507 of the family's 1533-position model. The record is from RNAcentral.